This 111-nucleotide ribosomal RNA is filed under the name Ureaplasma parvum. RNAcentral also lists the same sequence under 1 other name. Lineage: Bacteria; Bacillati; Mycoplasmatota; Mycoplasmoidales; Mycoplasmoidaceae. The record is from RNAcentral.
UAGUGAUUAUAUCAGAGUGGAAAUACCUGUUCCCAUCCCGAACACAGAAGUCAAGCACUCUAGAGCCGAAAAUAGCGCAAGUAAAAUAGGUCAUCGCUACGCUAGAACCAA